Molecule: ribosomal RNA, 102 nt
Rfam family: Bacterial small subunit ribosomal RNA
AAACUGGAGAGUUUGAUCCUGGCUCAGAAUGAACGCUGGCGGCGUGCCUAACACAUGCAAGUCGAGCGAGAAAGGGACUUCGGUCCUGAGUAGAGCGGCGAA